GUUCGAGCGUCAUUACAACCCUCAAGCUCUGCUUGGUGUUGGGCUCGCCCUUUGGGGCCUGCCUCAAAAUCAGUGGCGGCUCCGUCCGGUCUCAAGCGCAGUAAUACUCGUCGCUUGUUGGAUUCGGUCGGCGGCUUGCCAGCAACCCCCAUUUUUACAAGGUUGACCUCGGAUCAGGUAGGGAUACCCGCUGAACUUAA
Molecule: unclassified non-coding RNA, 200 nt
Filed under: soil metagenome
Description: partial contains internal transcribed spacer 2 and large subunit ribosomal RNA
Source: RNAcentral